RNAcentral lists this ribosomal RNA (253 nucleotides) under uncultured bacterium. Its description in RNAcentral is "partial 16S ribosomal RNA". It matches the Rfam family "Bacterial small subunit ribosomal RNA", at positions 524 to 776 of the family's 1533-position model. The record is from RNAcentral.
UACAGAGGGUGCGAGCGUUACUCGGAAUUACUGGGCGUAAAGCGCGCGUAGGCGGCUUUGCAAGUUGGGUGUGAAAUCCCCAGGCUUAACCUGGGAACUGCAUUCGAGACUGCAUUGCUAGAGUAUGGGAGAGGGAAGUGGAAUUUCCGGUGUAGCGGUGAAAUGCGUAGAUAUCGGAAGGAACAUCAGUGGCGAAAGCGACUUCCUGGACCAAUACUGACGCUCAUGUGCGAAAGCGUGGGGAGCAAACAGG